GAUGAACGCUGGCGGCGUGCCUAAUACAUGCAAGUCGAGCGAACAGAUGAGGAGCUUGCUCCUCUGACGUUAGCGGCGGACGGGUGAGUAACACGUGGAUAACCUACCUAUAUGACUGGGAUAACUUCGGGAAACCGGCGCUAAUACCGGAUAAUAUAUUGAACCGCAUGGUUCAAUAGUGAAAGACGGUUUUGCUGUCACUUAUAGAUGGAUCCGCGCCGCAUUAGCUAGUUGGUAAGGUAAAGGCUUACCAAGGCAACGAUGCGUAGCCGACCUGAGAGGGUGGUCGGCCACACGGGAACUUGGACACGGUCCAGGGUCCUACGGGAGGCACCAGUAGGGAAUCUUACGCAAUGGGCGGAAGCCUUACGGAGCAACGCCGCGUGAGUGAUGAAGGUCUUCGGAUCGUAAAACUCUGUUAUUAGGGAAGAACAAAUGUGUAAGUAACUAUGCACGUCUUGACGGUACCUAAUCAGAAAGCCACGGCUAACUACGUG
RNAcentral lists this ribosomal RNA (497 nucleotides) under uncultured bacterium. Its description in RNAcentral is "partial 16S ribosomal RNA". It matches the Rfam family "Bacterial small subunit ribosomal RNA", at positions 28 to 507 of the family's 1533-position model. The record is from RNAcentral.